RNAcentral lists this ribosomal RNA (492 nucleotides) under uncultured bacterium. RNAcentral describes it as "partial 16S ribosomal RNA". It matches the Rfam family "Bacterial small subunit ribosomal RNA", at positions 36 to 507 of the family's 1533-position model. The record is from RNAcentral.
CUUUCCCUCUGGCGGUAGGCCUAACACAUGCAAGUCGAACGGCAGCACAGUAAGAGCUUGCUCUUACGGGUGGCGAGUGGCGGACGGGUGAGGAAUACAUCGGAAGCUACUUGUUCGUGGGUGAGAACGUAGGGAAACUUACGCUAAUACCGCAUAGGACCUACGGGUGAAAGCAGCGGAUCUUCGGACCUUGCGCGAUUGAAUGAGCCGAUGUCGGAUUAGCUAGUUGGCGGGGUAAAGGCCCACCAAGGCGACGAUCCGUAGCUGGUCUGAGAGGAUGAUCAGCCACACUGGAACUGAGACACGGUCCAGACUCCUACGGGAGGCAGCAGUGGGGAAUAUUGGACAAUGGGCGCAAGCCUGAUCCAGCCAUACCGCGUGGGUGAAGAAGGCCUUCGGGUUGUAAAGCCCUUUUGUUGGGAAAGAAAAGCAGCAGGUUAAUACCCCGCUGUUCUGACGGUACCCAAAGAAUAAGCACCGGCUAACUUCGUG